CCUCUGCUGCCAUCCCAGCUACAGCUGCCUCUGACAUCACAAAAUAGGAGGCAUUACCUUUGGAGCAGCCCUCAUACUCUCUCAGCUUCUAAAUACCUCCCAGUUACCACAGGGAAAAUAGGAUCUCAAAUAGCACUCCCAUCUGAAAUGCAAAACCUACAACAUCCGAGUUGUGCAAGAAUUUAAGGAUGAGAACUUGAAGAUUUACUGAGGGAAGAGGUAGAAACACAGUUUCACCAACUGGAAAGAGAGGAAAAAAUAUUUUUGAACAACAGCAGCUUCAGAAUAGGGUUUAAAGAAAAAGAAGCUGACUUACACAUGUUCUUCAGAGUCAGAAGGGAAUACACUUGAAAAUUAUUUCUAGAAAAUGUUUUAUUUUCAAAAAGAAGAGACAUUAUUAUGACUGAGAAAAAUAAUGAUCCUGGUAAGAAGUAACCAGUUAUGUGCUUCUGUUAGCAAAGAACCUAAAACCAACAACGAUACUUGACAGAUUGACUUUCAAAACCAGAGGAUAAAAGCACUCUGAACAGCAGUCGAGAGCAUUCCAUUUCAAAGAAAGGAGAACAUAGCAACGCUCACUCUGUAAGAGAAUACAUGAGAGAAAGCACAUCUAUGAAUCAUAACAGAAAGCUGCCUAGCCCUGCAGCAGAUUCUUCCAGCCAACCGGAUAUAUACAGGAUAGGGAAUAAUCAAGGUAUUCACACGCUGAAAUAAUCCAGGGAAGUUGAAAUAUAGCCUCACACAAGCACAUGCAGUCACCCUGCUGGAUAGCCAAUGGCAGACCACAAUUCUGCUGCUGCUGGAACAGUCUCAAGAUGAUUCCACUGAAAGAAAAAGAGACUGAUCAAAAAGUUCUCAAUUUUCCAGACAACAAAUCCCAAAAGUAAAGAAAUUGUGCAUCUGAGUUCCAUGAUAAAAAUGGAUUUCAUAAUGUAUUUAUAGGUAAAUGAGAUAGCUGCUUCAUUCCAGUUAAAUAAACUGUUAUGUUUCAACACACAGUGUUUGCCUUCCUUUAAUCAUAUAGCCCGAUAGCUGGCAAGAUAGAUGCAAAGCAGUAGUGUGGAUAUUUUUCUUAGCCCAAUUACCAUUUCUGACAUCUCCUCCAUGAACUUCAAGCUCAGUAGAUCAAAAAUUGAAAUUCAGCUUCUGUUAAGCUCAUGGAUGCUCCCGAGUUUGGGUGCCAGGGUGCAAUAAAAGCUAGAGCAACUAUUUUGGUGCCUGCUAACUGGAUACAUAAUUACUAGCAAUAAGCACAUGCAUCUUUCCAGCCUUCUCAGAUAGCAACCUUUCACGCUUUAUUAUCACUUAUUAAAGUCUCCUGCGGGCUUGAUUGAAGUGUGUAGGCUGCACUACACUUACCUGCAAACAAGGAAACAAAUGAAGGUGCUUUAAGUUACUUCAGAAGCUCUCCCUGUUAUUACAUGCCUCCUUCUCACAUUAUGCAUUCCACACUUUGCUUUUGUGUUUCAGUUACAAUGUUGUUUCUUGGUGACAAAAAAGUAAAGCUUGACUAUUACUGCCCACCCUUUUCUUUUUGUGCUUUCCCUCACGGGAUGCAAUUUAACACACAUUACUGAUGUGAAUUCUUCUGAAAAUCUUAAAAGUAUGUCUCAGCCAAGCAGGUUCUUACACUUCCUGCCAGUGGAUGGAGGAGUUUUCAUCCUUUCAUAUAAUU
This is a non-coding RNA of Meleagris gallopavo (turkey), 1675 nucleotides long. The record is from RefSeq and is a predicted model, not a curated record. NCBI's taxonomy places the organism in Eukaryota, Metazoa, Chordata, Aves, Galliformes, Phasianidae.